This 58-nucleotide small RNA is filed under the name unclassified sequences. RNAcentral's name for it is "Streptococcus sRNA SpF59 (ldcC RNA)". It matches the Rfam family "Streptococcus sRNA SpF59 (ldcC RNA)". The record is from Rfam by way of RNAcentral.
UGACCUAACUGUAUUACAGUUAUACGAAGGCCAUACGGACAGCCGGGUCAAAUGCCGA